UCCUAAGUUCAAGUGAUUCUCCUGCCUCAGCCUCCGAAUUAGCUGGGAUUACAGGCACGCGCCACCAUGCCCAGCUAAUUUUUUGUAUUUUUAGUAGAGACGGGGUUU
Sapajus apella (tufted capuchin) is the source of this 108-nucleotide long non-coding RNA. RefSeq lists it as uncharacterized. The record is from RefSeq and is a predicted model, not a curated record. NCBI's taxonomy places the organism in Eukaryota, Metazoa, Chordata, Mammalia, Primates, Cebidae. The transcript is spliced from 3 exons.